This 448-nucleotide ribosomal RNA is filed under the name uncultured Gammaproteobacteria bacterium. RNAcentral describes it as "bacterial SSU rRNA". It matches the Rfam family "Bacterial small subunit ribosomal RNA", at positions 547 to 996 of the family's 1533-position model. The record is from RNAcentral. Lineage: Bacteria; Pseudomonadati; Pseudomonadota; Gammaproteobacteria.
GGAUUCUGGGCGUAAGCGUGCGUAGGUGGUUCGUUAAGUCAGAUGUGAAAGCCCCGUUCAUAACCUGGGAACUGCAUUUGAAACUGGCGGACUCCAUUUUAGUAGAGGGGAGUGGAAUUUCAGGUGUAGCGGUGAAAUGCGUAGAUAUCUGAAGGAACACCAGUGGCGAAGGCGACUCCCUGGACUAAAACUGACGCUGAGGUACGAAAGCGUGGGUAGCAAACAGGAUUAGAUACCCUGGUAGUCCACGCUGUAAACGAUGUCAACUAGCCGUUGGUCCUAUUUACAGGAUUAGUGGCGCAGCUAACGCAUUAAGUUGACCGCCUGGGGAGUACGGCCGCAAGGUUAAAACUCAAAUGAAUUGACGGGGGCCCGCACAAGCGGUGGAGCAUGUGGUUUAAUUCGAUGCAACGCGAAGAACCUUACCUACCCUUGACAUCCAUAGAAU